Molecule: ribosomal RNA, 301 nt
Filed under: uncultured bacterium
Lineage: Bacteria
Description: partial 16S ribosomal RNA
Rfam family: Bacterial small subunit ribosomal RNA
Source: RNAcentral
CAGCCGCCGCGGUAAUACAGAGGGUGCGAGCGUUAAUCGGAUUUACUGGGCGUAAAGCGUGCGUAGGCGGCUUUUUAAGUCGGAUGUGAAAUCCCUGAGCUUAACUUAGGAAUUGCAUUCGAUACUGGGAAGCUAGAGUAUGGGAGAGGAUGGUAGAAUUCCAGGUGUAGUGGUGAAAUGCGUAGAGAUCUGGAGGAAUACCGAUGGCGAAGGCAGCCAUCUGGCCUAAUACUGACGCUGAGGUACGAAAGCAUGGGGAGCAAACAGGAUUAGAUACCCCAGUAGUCCCUGUCUCUUAUAC